UUAAGUUUCUGGGUAGAUCAGGGGUUACAAAGAGUUACUACAAAUAUGGGAUAAUAUUAUUAAGGAGCAGUUAUGAAGUGAUGCUCUGGCAUUCUUAAAUUAGUGUUAUGCUUACUAAUGUUGAGAGAGACCCAGCAUGAGUUUUGUGAUCAGCGAAAGGACUGGUGCAGCAGAGAUCAAAUAACAUAUUUUAUAGUCUGCUAUUCAAUAGAUCCAACUCUGUGAACAAGAUACUUAAGUUGUGUCUGAUUUCAAUAUUGUUCUGAAAGAAUAAUGGUGAGGAAAUAAUAGCACUUUUGUAGUAGUAAUGGUAUUAGAAAUAUUAGAAGUAUUUAGAAGCAGUAACAGUAUUUUUGUUCGUGUCUGUAUGUAGAACAAAUGGGUGGAAACAAAGGAGUGAUCUAUGGUGCUGGAGAAGGUUUCAUAUUAUGUGCUGAGCAGCACUCUAUGACGAUGUUUGCUAUUUGAAGGUAAUUCAUAGCACAGUACAGAUUUAGACUCAGUUCUAGUGUGAAUUUAGCUGGAUAGUGUGUACCUUUACUUGAGUAUAGUUUUACUAUUCAGUCUAAUUUUGUUUGUUUGCUUUCAGCUUUGCAUAAUUAAUUAAAAAGUCUGGUUAAUGCAAGAGAAACAACAUGUCCAACUGUUUCUCACAGAUGUCAGUUGAAAUGAGCUAUCAAAUUAAUGCCAUAUGACAAUGACAGUUUUGUAAAUCAUCCUUUGACCUGAUUUGCCUCUGAAAGAGUUUAUGCCAAAAAUAUUUAUUCUAAUAUAGGCACAUACCGACCAUUUUUAUCCCACCCACAAGCAAUUUAUCCUCGAGUCUUAAUGUAGAAAAACUAUUUGGAAUUAGUUGGAAGUUUUGCUUGAUAGAGGAGUCUAGUUUUGACUGCUAAACCAGCCAGUGCCAGAAUCUAAUUUUUACUGUUAGUAUAAUAUAUUAUUAUAUUCUCUCUACUACUACUAUCAGCAAUGUUAAUGAUAGCUACUGAUUUCCUUCUGUAUUAUUAGGAAUAGGGAAUAUUUGUAAUUGUUUUCAACAAGUAGAAGCUUGAGGUCACGGAUCAACCAGUGUACUGUGCAAUACACUCAUGGGUCAAAAUUCUCAUUUAAUAGCAAAAAGGCUCUGAAUUUUUUUUUCAGUGAAAUUUCCAUGUUUCUUUCAGAGUCCUUUAUUCCUAGUAAAGGAAAACAUUUUUUAAUUAAGCAGAAGGAAUGUAAUCAUGGAAUUGUUACAUUUCUUUUAUGGAAGCUAAAAAAAUACACAGUAUAAUUAAAAAUAACAUAUGAUCAUUAAUGAAAAAGUCAUUGUCUGUCCCUGAUGCCAGAAUUCUUGCUUGACAAGAAAGAGGGAAGAAUCUGGCAUAUUAAAAGAAGCUGUUUAUUGGAAAAAUAUUAAAAUAUACUAGAAGUUUCAUUUUCAUACAUUAUAUGAUUUAAUACCAUCCUACAAAAGAAAAGAAAAAAAUGUGUUUGUACCUUUUUUUGAGUCUUUAGGGUGAAGAAAGAAGGCAGGAAUUGUUUGGCAGAUAUUUUAGAUUGUUUGCUUUAAAGUUGGGUUUUGUGCUUGUUUUUAACUGAGAACUAUCAUGAAUAAGAAACAGUUGUUUCUCUGUUUUUUUUCCUGGAGGAUCCCUUUGUCUCAAGAGGACUAGAAAGGAAUCUUUCACAAAGAUUUUCUCUCAGUUGUGGUAUUGCUGAUGUCAAGCAUGCAAAAAUCGUGAGUCAGCACUCCAAAAGUCACGAGACUGCAUUUUAAAAAAAGUGAUCUUGUAAAAUAUAUAUGUGGCACUCUUUUUUGAGCCUUUAUGGUAAAUGUAUGGCAUAUUUUUAUACUUUUUCUGCAAACUGAAAUCUUAUUUUUCAAAACAAAACAAGAAAAAAGAAGAAACAGAUGAGCUUUCUCAAAAAUUUGCAUGACUCCCAGAAAUGGGUGUCUGAAGAAUGUUUGAAACGUUACAAACAUUGCGACGUAAUUGCAGGUGUUGGCAACAUGGCAAUUAUUUGUGAGAACUUUGAUCUAAAUUGAGGUCAAUAAAAACAAAUGAAAAAACUGACUGAAAGAAAAGCAAAGAAACCUUCCUUUGCAUUUCAGAAGCUUGGGCUGCUGUAAUACCAUUUGUUCAGCAGUCCUCCCAAGAAAUCCUCCAGCUCAAAUUCAGGAGAAUAGGCCUCAUGUAUUUAAGGUUAAAUAAAAAGACAUAUACACAUCUGAUUACCAGAUACAAGAUAUAGUCAGAUAAUGACAAAUAACACUUUGAUUUUGGCAAAAAAACAAUAGGCAAACUAGUGCAGAUGCUGCUGUUACAAAGAUAUAAGACCUUUACCACAGUUUAAAAGACAAAGACUAUUUGAAUCUAACAACAUGGUUUCUGGCCAGAAAAAGCUACAAUUAUUUUUAAAAAUGUCACCUCAUUCACAUUCAAUGAUCACAGAAAAUGGAAACAUUUUAAGGAGUAAUUGUAAACAUCUGCUAAAGAAAAAACGAAAACAUGACUAAGACAGAAAUGAGUGCCAACAUAAAGUAUUGUGUGAACAGAUCCACCAGAAAAACACCAUUUCUGUGGAUGGAUUCUAUUUGGAAUGUGAAAAAAUUGAUGAUUAUAAAGAAGAUCAGAAUCCACCUAAAAAACAUUUCACUUUAAGUCAGUCUGGCCGUCUACUCAAAUAUCAAGGAAUGUGGCUACACUUGCAUUUCUGCAGCAGCUUCGGCUCCUGCUGCUUCUCCUGCCGUGUUCCAACAGAAGCGUGUGCACAGGCACAGUGAACUGGACUCAAACUAAUCUAACAAUUUUAUUCCUUUCUUUUUCAGCUGGGUUAUUUUGCAACUGGAUCAGUUAGGAAAAAGUCAAUGGCAGUGCGGAUGGUGAUGAUAGCUCAUACAGGAGUGCUGCUAGCUUUCUAACCAUUGCCUUGAAAUACCGAUUUCAAACUUUGGUGCUGUAAUGACAACAUAAGUGAAAGAAUGCCUGCCCUUCUGCAGCACAGGGGGCAACACUGGAAAAACAAAUACCUGCUGGCAAGGUUGAAGAACCCAAAACAAAACCUAUUUCCCAGCUCUGGAAUCCCCACUAUUGAUAGAAGAUGAUUCUGCAUAAAGAAUACAGGUUCCUUCAACCAUGCUUCUUUUCCAGAUCGGAGAUGAAAGGCACAGGUGGAGAGUCAAUUGCCUAACUGUCAUAAGGCUAAAUAUUUUUUCACUUGCUUAAGAUGUAAUAAGUCCUGGAGUGCUCUCUGCUUACACAAGUGGAUUUCAGCGCAGAAGCGUGCUCCAGAAAGGUGUUUGUGUAGAAGAGGGGAAAAUUCUGCAGGUUAAAGUCGCUAAAUGAAAACCAACUGUUUGGUGGGCAGUUAUUCUCUGAAGUUGACUGACAGAGGAACCCAUUUAUGAAAAAGGAAACAAUAGAAGUACAGCAUCACAACAGCAGCAGAAACCAACUCACUGGAGAUGGCAGAUGGACAGCACACUAGUAGUUAUGGUUAAUAUUUAGUCAUUCUCAAUAACAGCUUGUCCCAGUGUGGGGAGGAGCUGGAAAAUACCCAUGAGUGCUCUCGUCAGCUGUGGUUAGCUCAACAGAGGCCUCUGCUGAGCAAAUAGGAACUGCCCGAGACAAGCUCAAAAACACACCAAGCAUCUCGCCUUCACGUACCUUUAUAAGGACCAUGUAGUACUCCUCUUACAGGCAAUUUUGUGAGGAAAGAAAAUUCCAAAGGGACAGAUAAGUGUGAAUAGAUCUGUCUUAUUUCUAUGGAAAAAAAAAAAAAAAUCAAGAGCUGUGCCUUAUGAAAUAAGAAUGUUCACACAUGGUUUGCAAUUAGAGAUGAUUUUAUAUAUUUUGCUGUAAUUUUGUUUAUUAAAGGUUCAAAAGUUAUUUGAGCAAUUGUACCAGAGAGAAUGUGAUUUGCAGUAAGAUUUAAAGUAUACCUUUGGAUCAUUUCAAACUGUCUUCUGUCUUUGUUUAACUGAAUAUGCCAUGCUGAAACUGAAUCAAACCAUUGAUUUAUCAGAAGUGCUUUAUUCUUCACUCUAGAUCUAUGCAGAUCUAAGCUAUAAACCAGGAAAGCAGUAAAAAGUUGCAUUUGUAAAUAUUUUAGAGAAGACUGUUGUUCUGUGGAGCUUUAUGCUGUUUUCUCUGGUGCUAUUGAGUGCUUUGUAGAAGCUCAUUUGGGAAAUGUAUUCUUUGAUUUUGGUAAUCAAUUGAUCAACAUUUGAAGCUUUUCUCAGACACACAGUUAUUGUGAAGAGCAGUACUUUCAAAUACCCAUUUGAUUGUGUUUGUGAUGCUUGCUUUAUUCGACUCUGCUCCAGGCAAAUUAAAAUGUACUGCUAUAUAAUAAGUAUGGGAAGGUUAGCAUUCACACUUUAGGGAUAAAACAUUUUGACAGUUCUAUUCUACAUUUGCAUUUAAAAAUUUUAACGCUUUUGAUUAGACCCUAUGUUUAUCGUAGGAUCUCUUGUAGGCAUUACUACUGUGAGAUUGUUACCUUUUAGGAUUUGUUCUGGACUGCUUCUCUGUGGGGAAGCACAAAAGCCUGCUGGUUCCACAUACAUCUUGUUUUCUGGUCCACAGUAUGUCUCAUUUUCUUUAAUUUCUCAUGGGGGUCCAACUGUACCGCUACUGCUGAGUCAUUCUCAUUUCUUUCUGAGGUUUUUUGAUGUGCAGAGUUAGGGAAAGACAUAUGCAUAGGUCUCUCUUACAUGCUUGGUAUAUUUUUCCUACUGGUCUCCAAAUUCUCAAUUUUUGGUGCACAGUAGAAUCCCCAAGGGAACAGAGGCAGACAUUGUCUGGAGAGAGACAAGAGAUACUGCCACAACAUCCAUUAUUUUUUUAGCCAGUGGACAGGUGAUACUUAAACACAGCAUAUGCACAGACAAUGGUGAACAUUCUGAGCUCAUGAAAACCAUCACUGACACAGGCUGAUGUCUGAAGGACUGGUCACUAGAACUGUCUGUAUUAUUUGCUCCUCUUUUAUUUUAUCCUUCGUCUUUCUGUAUUAGUAACGUUCAGGAGGGAUUCAGAUAACCUGAUGGAACGUCUACAACAUUGCUAUCACCAAGAAACAUUCACUGAGGUAAUAAGGCAAAUGUACACUGUCUCAAGAGGUUUGUGUGUAAAUUAGACCCAGCGAUAGGAAAAAAAAACCCAAACCAACAAACAAACUGGCUAGUUAAGUUACUUCAGACUUUUCAGAAGAGCAGAGAGAAGCAAGAAAACAUUGUAGGUUUUACCAGGAAAAUGUAUUUGAGCUGAAAUAAGGUCUUCUCCCUGAUAGUUUAGCCAGUCCCUAGAGGCUUUGUGUAAUUAUUAUUAGAUUUACCUUGAGAAGGAUAUGGACUUAGGUGGUACCAGAAAUCUUGUGUGGUGAAUUCUCCGGGAACUCCUUCCUGCAUUAGGCCCCAUUACUCUGGCUCCAAAGCCCAGGAAACUCAAACACCCUCAUAGACUGCUGCUCUUUUCCAUACCUCCCUUCACUUCUGGGAGCUGUUUCUUCUGUAUCUGCAAUAAAUAGCAGAGAAGAGAAGUACUAUGGGGAUUCAGACAUAUGAUAUGUACAAAGUCAUGCUUUCUGAUUGUGAAGGGGACCACAAGUAAAUCCUCCCUGUGCACCCACAUUGGAUCUUGCAUUGAAAAACAUCAAAAUCUGAACUAUACAGAGGCUAUGCAGCGCUAUGGGUAAGUACAUUGGCCUUUCACGUCUUAUUAUGUUGUUAAUUAGUUAAUGUUUGUAAAGCACUUUGAAGAUGAAAAGCCCUAUAUAAGUUCUAAGUGUUAUUAUCUCUAGAGACCUGGGUUCAAUUCAAAGGUGCUUAAUUACAUAUGCCAUAAAUUAGACUUAAUGAGUUGUGGAAUCAUAUGCUUUAUGUGAUGCAUGCAGGCUUCUCAGCUAGAUCUAGGCCUUAUAAUCUGCUGCAGUACUUCUUUAGGUAUUCAGAGCUGUUAAGAAAAAUUACACAAAAAUAGAGCAGAUAAUUUCUAAAAAUAAUCGGACUGCACUUCAGUACUAUUUAGGACUUGGUGAAGCAAAUUACCAGGAGCUUUGCUCUGCUGUAUCUAGUGAUUUUUUAGUAACCAACUUCAAAUUGCUGAAGGUAACAUCAUUGUUUUUAAAUUGUGGUAUAGACAUGAUUCUAACUUUUACUUCUGUCCCAUAUUUUGAUUUAGCAGAAGGGAGCUGAGAGAUAUUAGUAUGACUGCUGUCCUUCCAGUGAUGCCCUGAAAUGUCCCAUCAGGGCUGGGGACCUCUUGGUAUUGGGUUAUGUUCACAAGCAUAAGAAAAGAAGUUCCCAGCUCUAGAGAUACUAUCAUAUAAUUUACAGCAAACCAUUACAAGCGGGUAAGUGCAAAAAGGGGAAGUAACGGUUAUAGGAAAAUGUGGUUUCAUUGGCUUUGCAGAGCUGAGAGUUUCCAUGUUAUGUAACUUAUAUAUUUUGUGGCCAGAAAGCUACAGAAUUUGCCCCACUCAAGCCCAGGCAUGAGGGUGUCUGUCCAGCAAUGAGUACAGAUAGCUAGCUGCUCCUGGUUGUUCCUCAACCAGCAGUGUUCAGAGACGCAGAAAACCAGCAGGUUCGUUCUCCUGUCCUAAAGUGGCUCCCACGUGUUCCUGCAGCAGAAUAUCUCCAUUUUACCUUGGGCCUUUCACAGGCACAGAGAGAAGCAGGAUUUAUCCUGCGUAUAAAUAUGUUAGAAGUGAUUGUGUUCAUUAGUACAACCUAAGUAGAUUGGAAAAACUAAUUAAUAGCAAUUUACUAUAAGUGUCUCUAACAGACUUACUUGAAAGUAUUUAUCCUGAAGUGAAAGUCAUUUGAUUUUGUUAAUGUUUAUUGUAAGCAUAUGCAGACUAUCUUCCAGGGGAAAAUGUAUUUUUGAGUACUCCAGACAAUUGAAACUAGUGAGCCCACUGUCUGGAGAAAGCAUCUGUAACCACAGCCAAAAGAGGAACGAGAUUUCCGACAUUCUUUCAAGACAUGUGUUUGAAGCAUGGGUUCUCACCACUUUCAGAGUGACUUGCAGGCCAUUUUCUUUAUAUAGAUUUAGACAAGUCAAUGUGGUCCUAGAUUCAUCUUGAUAAAUGCCUUUGUGAUUUCUCCCUUGUCCAUUUUCUCCUGUGUUAUUCUAUUGCUUAUUUCAAAUAGGACUCUGUUCUCAAGAAACUUUAAAUGGGACAAAGCAUAGUUUUGGACUGUUUUUUACCGCUCACAUUUCUGUAUUUCUAAGAAAUUAAUCUAGUCUUAGACCUUAAUUACUGGGGUGCAUCUCCUUCAAAAACAAGAUACAGUUUUGUUGAAUACUUUUCAAAUACUCUAAUAAAUAGGAACUUCACAUGAAUGCUGAUUUGAGUUCCAGGCUGUGGUUAAACGUUUUAAUAGUGUAGCAUACUUAUCAGCAAACCUUUCCUUCCCCACCCUACCCCCUUCCCUUUUUACAAUGAACAGAUUUUUAUCCGACCAGCUCGUGACUUGGGGAUUUUUACAAGCAGGUUUGGGAACUUGUCCAAUAUUUUGAAAUUUGAGCCUGAAAACAACAACAACAAAAUCUUUGAAAAAUGGUGUUUUAAAUAGUGUGUAUCAACUGGAUAAAAUUUUGACUUGCUGAAGUGCACACAGGAUUCUGUUGUCUGACCUAACUAUCGCAACUGGAAGUCACCCGUCUGAUUCCUUUUUUUAAUACUCCAAGACACCAUAUAUACUAGCGUAACUCCAUUGAGGUACCAAAUCAAUGGAGCUGUAAGACCCUCUUCAUUUCUGAACUACUAUAGCCUUUUGUCAAAAGGCGGUAAGAAUAUUCACAUUGUUAUUAUUUCAUCUGGGCAUUUUAAGUCUGUCUCUUUUCCUCCUCUGUUUCCAAGAUGUUAGUGACUGACAUACUCUAGCAGUGAUAUCACUCUUGCUUAAACAUCAGUGAAGAAGCUAUCCAAGCAACUGAGAAUGUUGUAAGCUCUAGCUGCUGCGCUGAACUGCCUGUUACAGAGACAUCGGGCAGGAGGAACAAGCAUACAGCGUUGUGAAAGCGCUUUUUUACAGCCAGGCCUCCAACUCUGACCAAGUGUGCUAAUGGCUGAUAAGGGUGCUCUUUGAGAAAACAAUUCAUGGGUUACAAGAAGCAUUAAAUGUGCAUGGAGAAACAUCUUGGUGAGUUAAUACCCAGUAAAGAACUCUGGUCACUUGGCGAUUGUGUUUGUUGACCCAGUUAGGAGUUUUACAAAAACAGUCACCAUCCUUUUGACUUGUGACUUCCCCAGUCAUUUUCCUGUUUAAGUCCCUAAUUUAACAAAGCACUAAUCUGUCUCUCUCUGAAAGUCUUUGACCAUGGAAACAGUGCUCAUGAGGUCUGGGAGACUUCUGGAUCAUUACUGCCUCCACCUUCCUCUGCCUGUCUGCGAGCAAGGGGUUAUCACAGGUCAGCUGCAGAACAGAAGGUGGGGCAGUAAGUUGUGGUGUAAGCACAGAUUUUAUACUGAUGUGUCUGAUUUUUAUACCAGCCUGGAUGAAGAGCAU
Molecule: long non-coding RNA, 8497 nt
Organism: Aquila chrysaetos chrysaetos
Lineage: Eukaryota; Metazoa; Chordata; Aves; Accipitriformes; Accipitridae
Exons: 5
Source: RefSeq, a predicted model, not a curated record